Molecule: long non-coding RNA, 1030 nt
Filed under: Zostera marina
Lineage: Eukaryota; Viridiplantae; Streptophyta; Magnoliopsida; Alismatales; Zosteraceae
Description: long non-coding RNA (ZMAR_LNC002944)
Source: RNAcentral
AACAAGGAAAAAAAUCUAAAAAUCAACAUAUUUUCUUGCGUAAUCAAUCAAUCAAUCAUGUAAAAACAUGUAAAGUGUGUGAACUAAUAUUAGUAAUUUAGAAACUUACAAGAAUCUAAUCUAUUAAUAGUUUUUUACUUUCUGUCUUCCUAUAAUAAAUAUCGUCGGAAGAUCAAAUCUAUAAAAAAAAAAAGUUUGCCCCCAAAUACCACCAUCCCGAGUAUCAUCAUCAUCAAACUCCAAACUCCAAACUCCAAACUCCAAACUCCAAGACGACGAAACCUGCAGAAAUCCACAAGCGAAACACAUCUAAACCAUUCCAGAAAGAAUUCACUAAAGAACAACCAAAAAGAAAAAAAUCGGCGCAGAUCUGAAAGUUCUGUAAGAUAUCAGUCGCAUCCGUAUCCGAUUCGGUUGAUGCAAAACAGGAAGAAAAGAAAACAAAUCCGAUCCGAUCCGAUCUGACGAACGGAAGGAGCCAGUCUUCUCUUCCCGACCUGCACCAAGCAAAUCAGAGACGACGGCGAGUUAAAACUGUGAACGGGAAGAAAUGGACGGAGGAUUCGAAAUCGAAAUCUCAAUCGAAAUCUAUGAUCUAUAGAGUGAGAGAAGAGACCAUCGGUUUGGAGGUAGUAGUCUUGCUGUGUGUUUCCGAGAAUCUCUAGAUUUAGCCUUUCAAGGGACCGACCACUGUUGUGAUGUGGUUUCUAGCCAUGAUACGUGGCUUCUACAUUACCCGUUCGAUGUAAUCUUUACGGUUCAUAUUUAUCUUAACAGCCUGACCGAGACUGAUAGUUCCCCUAGAGAGAAUCAUAUCAUGACUUCUAAAUUAAUGAAACAAUGGGCCCAAUCUCUUAAUAAGUCCAACCCAACAGUAAUUGGCCCAUUCACUUCAAUUGAGUCCACUGUAACUAUAAUUCGUUAGCUUUUAGUUAUUCAAUUGAUGCUGACUCGAUAUGACGUGCACGUAAUUAAUUUUAAUUGAGUACAAAGUAUUUAUGAAUCAGGUGAAGGAAAAACCGAAAGUUAG